GACGAACGCUGGCGGCGUGCCUAAUACAUGCAAGUAGAACGCUGAAGGAGGAGCUUGCUUCUCUGGAUGAGUUGCGAACGGGUGAGUAACGCGUAGGUAACCUGCCUGGUAGCGGGGGAUAACUAUUGGAAACGAUAGCUAAUACCGCAUAAUAGCAGUUGUCGCAUGACAACUGUUUGAAAGGUGCAAUUGCACCACUACCAGAUGGACCUGCGUUGUAUUAGCUAGUUGGUGGGGUAACGGCUCACCAAGGCGACGAUACAUAGCCGACCGAGAGGGUGAUCGGCCACACUGGGACUGAGACACGGCCCAGACUCCUACGGGAGGCAGCAGUAGGGAAUCUUCGGCAAUGGACGGAAGUCUGACCGAGCAACGCCGCGUGAGUGAAGAAGGUUUUCGGAUCGUAAAGCUCUGUUGUAAGAGAAGAACGAGUGUGAGAGUGGAAAGUUCACACUGUGACGGUAUCUUACCAGAAAGGGACGGCUAACUACGUG
RNAcentral lists this ribosomal RNA (494 nucleotides) under uncultured bacterium. RNAcentral's name for it is "partial 16S ribosomal RNA". It matches the Rfam family "Bacterial small subunit ribosomal RNA", at positions 28 to 507 of the family's 1533-position model. The record is from RNAcentral.